AGGUGAGUCCCGCCCCAAGGAGACUCUUAAGGCGGCAGAAAAGGAAAACGGAUUCCGGCGAUACUCAAGGUGCACAUCAGUAGUACAGCAGCAGGAGUGGAAUUUAUCUGGCCACUAAUUACAGGUAGGACAAUUAUUACCAUUACCUGUACAAAAGCUGUCUUCCCCCUUCCCUUCCCUUCCCUUCCUUUCCCUUCCCUUCCUCUUC
Molecule: long non-coding RNA, 208 nt
Organism: Scylla paramamosain (green mud crab)
Lineage: Eukaryota; Metazoa; Arthropoda; Malacostraca; Decapoda; Portunidae
Exons: 3
Source: RefSeq, a predicted model, not a curated record